This 455-nucleotide ribosomal RNA is filed under the name uncultured organism. RNAcentral describes it as "partial 16S ribosomal RNA". It matches the Rfam family "Bacterial small subunit ribosomal RNA", at positions 333 to 797 of the family's 1533-position model. The record is from RNAcentral.
ACACUCCUGCGGGAGGCAGCAGUGGGGAAUAUUGCACAAUGGGCGCAAGCCUGAUGCAGCGACGCCGCGUGGGGGAUGAAGGCCUUCGGGUUGUAAACUCCUUUCGCUAGGGACGAAGCUUUUUUGUGACGGUACCUAGAUAAGAAGCACCGGCUAACUACGUGCCAGCAGCCGCGGUAAUACGUAGGGUGCGAGCGUUGUCCGGAAUUACUGGGCGUAAAGGGCUCGUAGGUGGUUUGUCGCGUCGUCUGUGAAAUUCUGGGGCUUAACUCCGGGCGUGCAGGCGAUACGGGCAUAACUGGAGUGCUGUAGGGGUAACUGGAAUUCCUGGUGUAGCGGUGAAAUGCGCAGAUAUCAGGAGGAACACCGAUGGCGAAGGCAGGUUACUGGGCAGUUACUGACGCUGAGGAGCGAAAGCAUGGGUAGCGAACAGGAUUAGAUACCCCGGUAGUCCC